RNAcentral lists this transfer RNA (83 nucleotides) under Methanobrevibacter sp. RNAcentral describes it as "tRNA-Thr". It matches the Rfam family "tRNA". Rfam says of the family: Transfer RNA (tRNA) molecules are approximately 80 nucleotides in length. Their secondary structure includes four short double-helical elements and three loops (D, anti-codon, and T loops). Further hydrogen bonds mediate the characteristic L-shaped molecular structure. tRNAs have two regions of fundamental functional importance: the anti-codon, which is responsible for specific mRNA codon recognition, and the 3' end, to which the tRNAs corresponding amino acid is attached (by aminoacyl-tRNA synthetases). tRNAs cope with the degeneracy of the genetic code in two manners: having more than one tRNA (with a specific anti-codon) for a particular amino acid; and 'wobble' base-pairing, i.e. permitting non-standard base-pairing at the 3rd anti-codon position. The record is from RNAcentral. Lineage: Archaea; Methanobacteriati; Methanobacteriota; Methanobacteria; Methanobacteriales; Methanobacteriaceae.
GCCUCUUUGGGACAGCGGUUGACUCCACCUGACUUGUAAUCAGGUUCCUUCGGGACGCGUCGGUUCGAAUCCGACAGGAGGCU